Molecule: regulatory RNA element, 117 nt
Organism: Azospirillum sp. B510
Lineage: Bacteria; Pseudomonadati; Pseudomonadota; Alphaproteobacteria; Rhodospirillales; Azospirillaceae
Rfam family: ALIL pseudoknot
Source: Rfam
GGCGUAUUUUGCUCAGGCGGAGCUCGACCGCCCGUUCAAGAAAUGAUCGCCUUCAUCGACGAGCAUCGCGCCGUCCACGGGGUCGAGCCGACCUGCAAAGUGCUGCCGAUCGCCCCG